Molecule: non-coding RNA, 88 nt
Filed under: Caldicoprobacter faecalis
Lineage: Bacteria; Bacillati; Bacillota; Clostridia; Caldicoprobacterales; Caldicoprobacteraceae
Description: Acetomicrobium faecale c-di-GMP-I riboswitch aptamer
Rfam family: c-di-GMP-I riboswitch aptamer
About the family: GEMM was predicted in a large-scale screen for bacterial structured RNA regulatory elements. Genes associated with GEMM are involved in a diverse array of functions, including chemotaxis regulation, signal transduction, secretion and chitin.
Source: Rfam by way of RNAcentral
CUUGUUAAAGGGCAAACCUGUCGAAAGGCAGGGGCGCAAAGCCAAGGGCCUAAGGAACGUUAUCGUUCUAUGGCAGCCGGUUGCACAA